CUCUCUUCGGCCGGUUGGAAAGGUGAUGCUGCGCUAAGGAAUCUUUCCUCCUUAUUGAAAUUAGCAAUAAUUGCUCGACGCACAGAGAGCUUCUUAUAAAAUAAAAAAUGAUCGAUUCAUAUACUAAGGUCAUUGGUGCUAACAGUAGUGAAUAACGGAUGAACGAAAAUAUGAUUUAUGAUAGCGGCGAACCAUAUGCCCUGGCCACCAGAUAUAGAACGCGAAAAACAGCCAUUUGAAGAGCAGGUUUGCCAAGGUCCACCUACACAGCGACCAGGAUACCGGCCCAUCAAAGAUAUCAUCUCGUAAGAUCGACGAAAUAUGUGUGAGUUCUUCACGAGUACAAUUUUGUCGUAUAAAAUAAAUACUAGAAAUUUCA
Long non-coding RNA from Osmia bicornis bicornis, 379 nucleotides. RefSeq lists it as uncharacterized. NCBI's taxonomy places the organism in Eukaryota, Metazoa, Arthropoda, Insecta, Hymenoptera, Megachilidae. The transcript is spliced from 2 exons. The record is from RefSeq and is a predicted model, not a curated record.